Molecule: ribosomal RNA, 301 nt
Filed under: uncultured bacterium
Lineage: Bacteria
Description: partial 16S ribosomal RNA
Rfam family: Bacterial small subunit ribosomal RNA
Source: RNAcentral
CAGCAGCCACGGUAAUACGUAGGUGGCAAGCGUUGUCCGGAAUUAUUGGGCGUAAAGGGCUCGCAGGCGGUUUCUUAAGUCUGAUGUGAAAGCCCCCGGCUCAACCGGGGAGGGUCAUUGGAAACUGGGAAACUUGAGUGCAGAAGAGGAGAGUGGAAUUCCACGUGUAGCGGUGAAAUGCGUAGAGAUGUGGAGGAACACCAGUGGCGAAGGCGACUCCCUGGUCUGUAACUGACGCUGAGGAGCGAAAGCGUGGGGAGCGAACAGGAUUAGAUACCCCCGUAGUCCCUGUCUCUUAUAC